Amblyraja radiata (thorny skate) is the source of this 301-nucleotide long non-coding RNA. RefSeq lists it as uncharacterized. The transcript has 3 exons. Lineage: Eukaryota; Metazoa; Chordata; Chondrichthyes; Rajiformes; Rajidae. The record is from RefSeq and is a predicted model, not a curated record.
AACGCGGAAGCGUUGGCUGAAACAACAGAUUCUUGUCGACAGCCACAUAAACGCUGGAGUAACUCAGCGGGACAGACAAGAUUCUUGUAAAUUUGUCCUUUCUGGAGAGAAGGAUUCGCAAAGCAGGAAUAAAAACAUGGUCUGACUAAUCAUUAAGGCCUGCAGCUAUGUGGCAAGCAAGAUCGGCAGUGUCAUAAGCAAAAAGGAAGGCCCACCUGGCACGUCUGAGCUCCAAAGCAGCCAGGUCCAAGGUGAAAAGUACAAUCCGGUAAACACAAUGGAGGAUGAGGGAUUCUUCCCG